CGGACGGGUGAGUAAUGUCUGGGAAACUGCCCGAUGGAGGGGGAUAACUACUGGAACGGUAGCUAAUACCGCAUAACGUCGCAAGACCAAAGAGGGGGACCUUCGGGCCUCUUGCCAUCGGAUGUGCCCAGAUGGGAUUAGCUAGUAGGUGGGGUAACGGCUCACCUAGGCGACGAUCCCUAGCUGGUCUGAGAGGAUGACCAGCCACACUGGAACUGAGACACGGCCCAG
Molecule: ribosomal RNA, 231 nt
Filed under: uncultured bacterium
Lineage: Bacteria
Description: partial 16S ribosomal RNA
Rfam family: Bacterial small subunit ribosomal RNA
Source: RNAcentral